ACACCUUGAGGAGGAUCUUGCUUGCUGAAUUUGCUGAUGUUUUAUUACAGGAAGAAAUGGGAGAUGUGCUCAGCAAAUCCUAAUCCAGGCAGCUGCAGGGAGAUUGGGCCUGCCCCGACUUCACCUGUCACUAUACCCUUCUGUUCAACAAGCUUCAGAGUUAAUAUCCACCUUGAACGUAGAAGGGCAGGCUCAUGAGCCGGGCAGGGAUCAGCAAGGGAACUCAGAGCACCAAUCUGGAGUAACUCCAUAUUGCUGGGAGAGCCUGACAACUUUUACCCCAUCUCUUCAGCCCCGGGCUGCAACUACUUUUACCCGACAGCUGGAUGUGAUGUCUCCAAAAACCAGUCAGUGCUGGAGGACUCCCCUGAGCUGGAGGGCUAUUACAAACUGACACCUGGGGCUGAAUACACACGGGAUGCUGCCCAAAGGGAGAGACCAGGACACAGACUCAUUAAGUCUCCUCCUUGCCAGUGUAGCCCAUGAGAUGGGCCACACAGUAUAGCAUCCCCCACCAAGCAGAUCUUGCCAGAGAUUAUAUAACAAGUGCAAACAGCAUGCAUCACUCCUAAAACCACAGUGGAGAAACUGUGUCCUUAUGAGAAGCCAGAAGCUACUUGAGGCUGGACUAAUAGGAGACGUGGACAUGAAC
Alligator mississippiensis (American alligator) is the source of this 652-nucleotide long non-coding RNA. RefSeq lists it as uncharacterized. The record is from RefSeq and is a predicted model, not a curated record. NCBI's taxonomy places the organism in Eukaryota, Metazoa, Chordata, Crocodylia, Alligatoridae. The transcript is spliced from 2 exons.